GCGUAAUAUCACUUGAACACUUGGAGAAAAAGAACUUCAUUUUCAGAAGCAAUUCAGGGGUGCUGAAUGUCUCCAAAGAUGACAGGAUUGUGAUGAGAGGGAGAAGGUUGAGUUGUCUGUACCAGAUGAAGGGAUCUGUUUUGUCUGAAAAGACUGAGGUGAUUGUUUCAGCCAUGGAGGAUCAGCAGAAGGUUCAAUCGGUGCAGAUUGGAUAGCUAAUGGUGUUUAUC
This 230-nucleotide long non-coding RNA is filed under the name Elaeis guineensis (African oil palm). RNAcentral describes it as "long non-coding RNA (EGUI_LNC073021)". The record is from RNAcentral. Lineage: Eukaryota; Viridiplantae; Streptophyta; Magnoliopsida; Arecales; Arecaceae.